RNAcentral lists this ribosomal RNA (429 nucleotides) under Gemmatimonadota bacterium. RNAcentral's name for it is "Gemmatimonadetes bacterium partial 16S ribosomal RNA". It matches the Rfam family "Bacterial small subunit ribosomal RNA", at positions 355 to 776 of the family's 1533-position model. The record is from RNAcentral. Lineage: Bacteria; Pseudomonadati; Gemmatimonadota.
UAGGGAAUCUUCGGCAAUGGACGAAAGUCUGACCGAGCAACGCCGCGUGAGUGAAGAAGGUUUUCGGAUCGUAAAACUCUGUUGUUAGAGAAGAACAAGGACGUUAGUAACUGAACGUCCCCUGACGGUAUCUAACCAGAAAGCCACGGCUAACUACGUGCCAGCAGCCGCGGUAAUACGUAGGUGGCAAGCGUUGUCCGGAUUUAUUGGGCGUAAAGCGAGCGCAGGCGGUUUCUUAAGUCUGAUGUGAAAGCCCCCGGCUCAACCGGGGAGGGUCAUUGGAAACUGGGGGACUUGAGUGCAGAAGAGGAGAGUGGAAUUCCAUGUGUAGCGGUGAAAUGAGUAGAUAUAUGGAGGAACACCAGUGGCGAAGGCGGCUCUCUGGUCUGUAACUGACGAUGAGGCUCGAAAGCGUGGGGAGCAAACAGG